This 497-nucleotide ribosomal RNA is filed under the name uncultured bacterium. RNAcentral's name for it is "partial 16S ribosomal RNA". It matches the Rfam family "Bacterial small subunit ribosomal RNA", at positions 28 to 507 of the family's 1533-position model. The record is from RNAcentral.
GAUGAACGCUGGCGGCGUGCCUAAUACAUGCCAGUCGAGCGAACGGACGAGAAGCUUGCUUCUCUGAUGUUAGCGGCGGACGGGAGAGUAACACGUGGAUAACCUACCUAUAAGACUGGGAUAACUUCGGGAAACCGGAGCUAAUACCGGAUAAUAUUUUGAACCGCAUUGGUCAAAAGUGAAAGACGGUCUUGCUGUCACUUAUAGAUGGAUCCGCGCUGCAUUAGCUAGUUGGUAAGGUAACGGCUUACCAAGGCAACGAUGCAUAGCCGACCUGAGAGGGUGAUCGGCCACCCUGGAACUGAGAAGCGGUCCCGACUCCUACGGGGGGCCGCAGUAGGGAAUCUUCCGCAAUGGGCGAAAGCCUGACGGAGCAACGCCGCGGGAGUGAUGAAGGUCUUCGGAUCGUAAAACUCUGUUAUUAGGGAAGAACAAAUGUGUAAGUAACUGUGCACAUCAUGACGGUACCUAGUGAGAAAGCCACGGCUAACUACGUG